RNAcentral lists this long non-coding RNA (1419 nucleotides) under Pan troglodytes (chimpanzee). RNAcentral describes it as "lncRNA (ENSPTRG00000053931.1)". Lineage: Eukaryota; Metazoa; Chordata; Mammalia; Primates; Hominidae. The record is from RNAcentral.
GUGUAAGAUGAGAACUAAUGUGCAAAACUAGACAGAAUGUAAGCUUGAAUAUGGAGGCAAGUUUGAUAGAUUUUCUAAAAGGAAAUUUUUAAUUCCCCUAACACUGAAUGUGUACAAAGAUAGGUUUGAUUGACCUUCACUGGAAAUGGAUAGAGAUGGAUUUGAGAACUGGAGGUUUCUGAAAAAGAUAAUCGUUUGAACACAACAUUCUGUAAUAUCUUCCCGGGAAGACCAUUCUUUAAAAGACUUGAUGUCUCCACAUUGCAUCUGGCUCAACUUCCGUAGACUUUCCUGGACAUUUAAUCACAUAGUUCCCUCUAAGUCUUUAAGUUUUACUGCACUUCCUCCAUUUUCUAUUUUUUAGGAUUUUUUUUUUGUGGAUGAUUUUAUUUCUUUUUUUUAUAUUUACUGAGUAAUAGAAACCAUAGCAUAUAUGUGUGUGGUAAGUUUACUCAUGUUCAUGAUAAGUUAACUCAUGACUAGAGGUAUUAACAUAUAUAGAGUCUCCUGAUAGUUGUCUUAGAAGACCAACAAUAUGUGUAUCCAAGAACUAAGUAGAGUGGAUUCACCAUAUUUUCUUUUUCUUUUUAAGUAUGAAAUUGAUACGUGUGCAUUGUACAAAAUUCAGAGAAUAAAUUGCUAUAGCAAUUUGCUAGUCUCUUAUUCUCCUUUUGUCCCACCUUUCUGAUUUACCAGAGGCAUAAAAUUAUAAUAAGCAUCGAAAUGCAAAAUGAUCUACAUUUUCCCUACUGCUGAGGGGAAAUUAUCUUAGAAGAAAAAGACAUAAAUAUGAAAAUCAUCUGGUUUGGUGCUAGCUUUUUCUGUUCCUCUUCUACUCCUAGUUUUCAAGUGCUGUUUACUGCUCUGGAACAAGAACAAGAAAACCUGGGCAUUGCUAGCUUUGGUGCCUCUGUCACUACCAUGGAAGAAGUCUUCUUAAAGGUCGGUUACAUGGAAGAGUCACAAACCGAUCACGAGGCUAUGCAGUCUUCCUCCCAAAUGGGCCAAGCCUCCAACAGGAACCAGAAUAAGAACAUAUCAAGAAAUGUUGAGGGAGCAGAUCCUCCCACCCUGAAUGAAAGCCCUACUAUUAACUUUAAUACCGGGUGUUCUCUCUACAGCCAGCAGUUCCGUGCCAUGUUCAUAAAGAGGGUGAUGUUCAACUGGCGCAACUGGAAACUGCUUUUUUUACAGAUACUGGGACUCAUAGGCUCUCUCGCCUUUCUCUUAAGAUCUAGUAACACUUCUUCACAGGAUGAAAUUAUUAGGCAAAUGGAUUUGAGUCAAUAUGGUCAAACCAUUGUGUCCUUUUCUAUUUCCGGGAAUUCUGAUUUGACUGCAAAUAUCUCAAAACACCUUGAGGGUAUGCUCAAGUCUGACAAUCAAAUACCUCAGGAAGUACAAGGUAAAGCUCACUGA